This 459-nucleotide ribosomal RNA is filed under the name uncultured bacterium. Its description in RNAcentral is "partial 16S ribosomal RNA". It matches the Rfam family "Bacterial small subunit ribosomal RNA", at positions 338 to 795 of the family's 1533-position model. The record is from RNAcentral.
CCUACGGGUGUGCAGCAGUGGGGAAUAUUGCACAAUGGGGGAAACCCUGAUGCAGCGACGCCGCGUGAGGGAAGAAGUAUUUCGGUAUGUAAAGCUCUAUCAGCAGGGAGGAAGUAGCGACCUUUGGAUCGCCAGACGGUACCUGAUUACGAAGCCGCGGCUAACUACGUUCCAGCAGCCGCGGUAAUACGUAGGGGGCAAGCGUUAUCCGGAUUUGCUGGGGGUAAAGGGAACGUAGACGGCAGCGCAAGUCUGAAGUGAAAUGCCGGGGCUUAACCCCGGAACUGCUUUUGAAACUGUGCAGCUAGAGUGCAGGAGAGGUAAGUGGAAUUCCUAGUGUAGCGGUGAAAUGCGUAGAUAUCAGGAGGAACACCAGUGGCGAAGGCGGCUUACUGGACUGUAACUGACGUUGAGGUUCGAAAGCGUGGGGAGCAAACAGGAUUAGAUACCCUGGUAGUC